Gorilla gorilla gorilla (western lowland gorilla) is the source of this 2100-nucleotide long non-coding RNA. RefSeq lists it as uncharacterized. NCBI's taxonomy places the organism in Eukaryota, Metazoa, Chordata, Mammalia, Primates, Hominidae. The transcript has 11 exons. The record is from RefSeq and is a predicted model, not a curated record.
GCCGCCAACAGAGGGCGCGCGAUCCCGCCUCAACCAACUUCCCGCUGAGGUGCCAGAAGCAGCGAGGAGCUUCAACUUCCUCAGGGCAGCACGAGGGACGUGUUAACUUGGUGUUCUUCAUUGAGAAAUGGAAUCAUCGUAUUGCUGAUCUACGUAAACAAAUUGAAGAAUUGUCUGAAAGAAAAUAUGACAUGAACUUAUGAAUUCAACAGGUGAAGAUUUACAACUUGAUAAAUCAGCUUUGUGAGCUCGAGCUGUAAAAGCCAAAGGUCUGGUGAUGAUCCCAUACCCUUUUUUCCAGUCUCAUGUUGAAGAUUUUUAUGUAGAAGGCCUUCCCAAAGGAAUUUUUAUUUUUGAGAUGGAGUUUUCACUCUUAUCACCCAGGCUGGGGUGCAAUGGCGCAACCUUGCCGGUCACUGCAACCUCUGCCUCCUGGGUUCAAGAAAUUCUCCUGCCUUAGCCUCCCAAGUCGCUGGGAUUACACGUGCCCACCACCACACUAGGCUAAUUUUUGUAUUUUUAGUGGAGAUGGGGUUUCACCAUGUUGGCCGGGCCAGUCUCGAACUCCUGACGUCAAGUGAUCUUCCCGCCUCGACUCCUGACAUCAAGUGAUCUUCCCGCCUUGGCCUUCCAGAGUGCUGAGAUUACAGACGUGAACCCAUGCCUGGCCAGGAAUUUUGUUUUUUAGGAAGGCUUUCUACUAAUGGAAUUCCUGGCCUUGAGAGGAUGUUACUUUCGAAGGAAAGGAUUUUUUUUGUUAUUAAAAGAAACAGGACCUUGCCCUGUCACUCAGGAUGGAGUUCAGUGGUCCUAUCAUGGCUCAUUAUAGCCUCAAACUCCCAGGCUCAAGCAAUCCUACCAUGUCAGCCUUCCCGUAGCUGGGACUACAGGUAAGCAUCGUGACACUCAGUGAAUUUUGUUUUUAUUUUGUUGUAGAGAUGGGACCUCAGUAUGUUGCCACAGCUGACCUUGAACUCCUGCACUCAAGGGAUUUUCCUGCCCUGGCCUCCCAAAGUACUGGUAUUACAGGCAUGAGCCAUUGUGCCCACCGUCUCUGGUUCUUAACCUUCUGCCUCCCUCUUCCAGUUUUAAAGAAUGCUUGUAAUUACAUGGGCUCUCCUAGAUACUCCAGGAUAAUCUUGUUUUAAGGUCUCACACUGUCACCCAGGCUGGAGUACAGUGGCACAACCUCUGCUUACUGCAGCCUCCACCUGCCAGGCUCAAGCAAUUCUCCUGCCUCAGCCUCCCGAGUAGCUGGGAUUACAGGUAAGUGCCACCACACCCAGCUGAUUUUUGUGUUUUUUUGUAGAGACGAGGUUUCGCCGUGUUUCCCAGACUGUUCUCAAACUCCUGAGCUCAAAGCAGUCCACCCACCUUGGCCUCCCAGAGUGCUGGGAUUACAGUUGAAGCAUAUGUCCUGCGAGCUUAGGGGUGCUACAAGUUGACCACUGCAGCAGUAAAGUUGACUCUGAAGAAUGGCGUGGGAUGGAUCCUUUCAAAUGCACUUGAGCAGCGGUCUCCAACCACAGGGCCACAGAGCUGGAGCUGGAUCUACCAUGAAGGACUUCUGAAUCCAGGAAGAGAGACUGACUGGGCAACAUGUUAUUCAGGAGAUGGGGUCUCACCCUGUCACCCAGGCUUGAGUACAGUAGUGCUAUCACAGCUCACUGCAGCCUUGAACUCCUGGGCUAAGGGUACUCCUACCUGAGCCUCCUGAGUAGCUAGGACUGUAGGUAUACAUGACGAUACUUGGCUAAUUUUUAAAUUGUUUUGUAGACAUGGGGUCUCACUUUGUUGGCCAGGCUGGUGUCAAACUAAUGGCCUCAAGUGACCCUUCCACCCCUGCCUCCCAUCCUCGAGGUGGGACCAUCCAGUUUCAGGAAAACAAGCUUAACACGCCCACUGAUUCUACAUUAUGCUCCUAGCUCCCAGCAGCCUCGCCAGGCCCAGAACUCUCUCCAGUCAGCCUCUACAGAUGAAGCUCAUGACUCACAAUGGCCUAUUUAGGCCCAUACCCUACCUCACGGCAGUCUCCGCAGAUGAGCCUACUGCCUCACAACAGCCUCCACAGGCACAGCUCCAUCGUUACAAUGGCCUCUU